This 253-nucleotide ribosomal RNA is filed under the name uncultured bacterium. Its description in RNAcentral is "partial 16S ribosomal RNA". It matches the Rfam family "Bacterial small subunit ribosomal RNA", at positions 524 to 776 of the family's 1533-position model. The record is from RNAcentral.
UACGGAGGGUGCAAGCGUUAUCCGGAUUCACUGGGUUUAAAGGGUGCGUAGGCGGAUAGGUAAGUCCGUGGUGAAAUCCUGCAGCUUAACUGCAGAACUGCCAUGGAUACUAUUUAUCUUGAAUGUCGUGGAGGUUAGCAGAAUAUGUCAUGUAGCGGUGAAAUGCUUAGAUAUGACAUAGAAUAUCCAUUGCGAAGGCAGCUAACUACGCGAUAAUUGACGCUGAUGCACGAAAGCGUGGGGAUCAAACAGG